RNAcentral lists this ribosomal RNA (532 nucleotides) under Colletotrichum gloeosporioides. RNAcentral's name for it is "SSU rRNA". It matches the Rfam family "Eukaryotic small subunit ribosomal RNA", at positions 578 to 1116 of the family's 1831-position model. Lineage: Eukaryota; Fungi; Ascomycota; Sordariomycetes; Glomerellales; Glomerellaceae. The record is from RNAcentral.
GGUAAUUCCAGCUCCAAUAGCAUAUAUUAAAGUUGUUGUGGUUAAAAAGCUCGUAGUAGAACCUUGGGCCUGGCUGGCCGGUCCGCCUCACCGCGUGCACUGGUCCGGCCGGGCCUUUCCCUCUGUGGAACCGCAUGCCCUUCACUGGGUGUGCCGGGGAAACAGGACUUUUACUUUGAAAAAAUUAGAGUGCUCCAGGCAGGCCUUUGCUCGAAUACAUUAGCAUGGAAUAAUAGAAUAGGACGUGUGGUUCUAUUUUGUUGGUUUCUAGGACCGCCGUAAUGAUUAAUAGGGACAGUCGGGGGCAUCAGUAUUCAAUUGUCAGAGGUGAAAUUCCUGGAUUUAUUGAAGACUAACUACUGCGAAAGCAUUUGCCAAGGAUGUUUUCAUUUAUCAGGAACGAAAGUUAGGGGAUCGAAGACGAUCAGAUACCGUCGUAGUCUUAACCAUAAACUAUGCCGACUAGGGAUCGGACGAUGUUAUUUUUUGACUCGUUCGGCACCUUACGAGAAAUCAAAGUGCUUGGGCUCCA